RNAcentral lists this ribosomal RNA (200 nucleotides) under uncultured bacterium. RNAcentral describes it as "partial 16S ribosomal RNA". It matches the Rfam family "Bacterial small subunit ribosomal RNA", at positions 8 to 215 of the family's 1533-position model. The record is from RNAcentral.
AGAGUUUGAUCAUGGCUCAGAUUGAACGCUGGCGGCAUGCCUUACACAUGCAAGUCGGACGGCAGCGCGGGCUUCGGCCUGGCGGCGAGUGGCGAACGGGUGAGUAAUACAUCGGAACGUGUCCAGUAGUGGGGGAUAGCCCGGCGAAAGCCGGAUUAAUACCGCAUACGAUCUCUGGAUGAAAGCGGGGGACCUUCGGG